Molecule: small nuclear RNA, 164 nt
Organism: Sorex fumeus (smoky shrew)
Lineage: Eukaryota; Metazoa; Chordata; Mammalia; Eulipotyphla; Soricidae
Product: U1 spliceosomal RNA
Exons: 1
Source: RefSeq, a predicted model, not a curated record
AUACCUGCCUGGCAGGGGGAGAUACAAUAAUCACAAAGAUUGUUUUCUCAGGACAAGGCCUAUCCAUUACACUCUGGAUGUUAUGAUCCCUGUGAUUUCCCUAAAUGUGGGAAACUAGGCUGCAGAAUUUGUGGUAGUGGGGGACUGAUAUAUACUGUCUCCUA